AUUGAACGCUGGCGGCAGGCCUAACACAUGCAAGUCGAGCGGAUGAAGGGAGCUUGCUCCUGGAUUCAGCGGCGGACGGGUGAGUAAUGCCUAGGAAUCUGCCUGGUAGUGGGGGAUAACGUCCGGAAACGGGCGCUAAUACCGCAUACGUCCUGAGGGAGAAAGUGGGGGAUCUUCGGACCUCACGCUAUCAGAUGAGCCUAGGUCGGAUUAGCUAGUUGGUGGGGUAAAGGCCUACCAAGGCGACGAUCCGUAACUGGUCUGAGAGGAUGAUCAGUCACACUGGGAAUUGGAAACCGUUCCGACUCCCUCGGGAGGGGGCAGUGGGGAAUAUUGGACAAUGGGCGGAAGCCUGGUCCAGGCAUGCCGCGUGUGUGAAGAAGGUCUUCGGAUUGUAAAGCACUUUAAGUUGGGAGGAAGGGCAGUAAGUUAAUACCUUGCUGUUUUGACGUUACCAACAGAAUAAGCACCGGCUAACUUCGUG
Molecule: ribosomal RNA, 484 nt
Filed under: uncultured bacterium
Lineage: Bacteria
Description: partial 16S ribosomal RNA
Rfam family: Bacterial small subunit ribosomal RNA
Source: RNAcentral